Molecule: non-coding RNA, 83 nt
Organism: Potamilus streckersoni
Lineage: Eukaryota; Metazoa; Mollusca; Bivalvia; Unionida; Unionidae
Source: the annotation of a GenBank genome assembly
GUUCAUGUGGCAUAGCGGUUAGAGCGUCCGCCUCGGAUGCGGGAGGUCGUGGGUUUGAUCCCGGUCGAGUCAUACCAAAGACU